UGGGGAAUUUUGGACAAUUGGGCGAAAGCCUGAUCCAGCAAUGCCGCGUGUGUGAAGAAGGCCUUCGGGUUGUAAAGCACUUUUGUCCGGAAAGAAAUCCUUGGCUCUAAUACAGUCGGGGGAUGACGGUACCGGAAGAAUAAGCACCGGCUAACUACGUGCCAGCAGCCGCGGUAAUACGUAGGGUGCAAGCGUUAAUCGGAAUUACUGGGCGUAAAGCGUGCGCAGGCGGUUUGCUAAGACCGAUGUGAAAUCCCCGGGCUCAACCUGGGAACUGCAUUGGUGACUGGCAGGCUAGAGUAUGGCAGAGGGGGGUAGAAUUCCACGUGUAGCAGUGAAAUGCGUAGAGAUGUGGAGGAAUACCGAUGGCGAAGGCAGCCCCCCUGGGCCAAUACUGACGCUCAUGCACGAAAGCGUGGGGAGCAAACAGGAUUAGAUACCCUGGUAGUCCACGCCCUAAACGAUGUCAACUAGUUGUUGGGGAUUCAUUUCCUUAGUAACGUAGCUAACGCGUGAAGUUGACCGCCUGGGGAGUACGGUCGCAAGAUUAAAACUCAAAGGAAUUGACGGGGUCAUAGCUGUUUCCU
Molecule: ribosomal RNA, 587 nt
Filed under: uncultured bacterium
Lineage: Bacteria
Description: partial 16S ribosomal RNA
Rfam family: Bacterial small subunit ribosomal RNA
Source: RNAcentral